GACGAACGCUGGCGGCGUGCUUAACACAUGCAAGUCGAGCGGAAAGGCCCUUCGGGGUACUCGAGCGGCGAACGGGUGAGUAACACGUGAGUAACCUGCCCCAGACUUUGGGAUAACCCUCGGAAACGGGGGCUAAUACCGGAUACGACACAGCUUCGCAUGGGGUCUGUGUGGAAAGUUUUUCGGUUUGGGAUGGGCUCGCGGCCUAUCAGCUUGUUGGUGGGGUGAUGGCCUACCAAGGCGACGACGGGUAGCCGGCCUGAGAGGGCGACCGGCCACACUGGGACUGAGACACGGCCCAGACUCCUACGGGAGGCAGCAGUGGGGAAUAUUGCACAAUGGGCGGAAGCCUGAUGCAGCGACGCCGCGUGAGGGAUGACGGCCUUCGGGUUGUAAACCUCUUUCAGCAGGGACGAAGCGUAAGUGACGGUACCUGCAGAAGAAGCGCCGGCCAACUACGCG
This 462-nucleotide ribosomal RNA is filed under the name uncultured bacterium. RNAcentral describes it as "partial 16S ribosomal RNA". It matches the Rfam family "Bacterial small subunit ribosomal RNA", at positions 28 to 507 of the family's 1533-position model. The record is from RNAcentral.